GGCGAACGGGUGAGUAACACGUGAGCAACCUGCCCCUAACUCUGGGAUAACGCUUCGAAAGGAGUGCUAAUACCGGAUAUGAGCCUGGAAGACAUCUUCUGGGUUGGAAAGUUUUUCGGUUAGGGAUGGGCUCGCGGCCUAUCAGCUUGUUGGUGAGGUAAAGGCUCACCAAGGCGACGACGGGUAUCCGGCCUGAGAGGGCGACCGGACACACUGGGACUGAGACACGGCCCAGACUCCUACGGGAGGCAGCAGUGGGGAAUAUUGCGCAAUGGGCGAAAGCCUGACGCAGCGACGCCGCGUGAGGGAUGAAGGUCUUCGGAUUGUAAACCUCUUUCAGCAGGGACGAAGCGAAAGUGACGGUACCUGAAGAAGAAGCACCGGCUAACUAC
Molecule: ribosomal RNA, 392 nt
Filed under: uncultured Actinomycetes bacterium
Lineage: Bacteria; Bacillati; Actinomycetota; Actinomycetes
Description: bacterial SSU rRNA
Rfam family: Bacterial small subunit ribosomal RNA
Source: RNAcentral